CCAAAAAGGAAAUUUAAUUAUUGAGAUUUUAGAUAAAGCUACAAUCAGAUAUUUGCACACGAUAUCAGAAUGUGAAUUCGUAUGAUUGCGAUACUUAAGCAAUCUCAUUAUUCACAGUAGUGAAAAUCUCACGAUUAUUUCUGAAUUUACUGUACAAAACUGAUAAACUAUCUUCAACAAACUGUUGUCCUGUUACUGAUAAAUUUUCUUCCUUAUAUGAUUGUCAAAUUUAAAAUAAUUGGUGAAUAAAACCCCUUAGAACCCUAAAGUGAGAACAAUUGAGAUUCAUUCCUUUUGGACAGUUCUUUCGCAUCCGAUCUUUUAAAAAAAAGUGACUAUGAUGUCAGAACAGUCAAAAUAAAAAGCUAAAAAAGUUUAUAUGAUGUUAAUGUAAGGAAGGUAUCAAUAACUCUAUUAAUGGGAUCUUAUAAUGAUGUUAGCCUGUUAAAAUACAAAGGCAAGCAAUAUUAGAUGACAGGGAUACCAUAUUCUUCUACAUAAAUAUGUCUAAGUUAAAUCUCAUUUGCUUACCCUCCCUUAUAUACAAGAUGCUGUGGAUCAAAUUUCAUUUGGU
Molecule: long non-coding RNA, 574 nt
Filed under: Mytilus galloprovincialis (Mediterranean mussel)
Lineage: Eukaryota; Metazoa; Mollusca; Bivalvia; Mytilida; Mytilidae
Source: RNAcentral